CUACGGGGCGCACCAGUGGGGAAUAUUGCACAAUGGGGGAAACCCUGAUGCAGCAACGCCGCGUGGAGGAUGACACUUUUCGGAGCGUAAACUCCUUUUAUAUAGGAAGAUAAUGACGGUACUAUAUGAAUAAGCACCGGCUAACUCCGUGCCAGCAGCCGCGGUAAUACGGAGGGUGCAAGCGUUACUCGGAAUCACUGGGCGUAAAGAGCGUGUAGGCGGGUUAAUAAGUCAGAAGUGAAAUCCAAUGGCUCAACCAUUGAACUGCUUUUGAAACUGUUAACCUAGAAUAUGGGAGAGGUAGAUGGAAUUUCUGGUGUAGGGGUAAAAUCCGUAGAGAUCAGAAGGAAUACCGAUUGCGAAGGCGAUCUACUGGAACAUUAUUGACGCUGAGACGCCAAAGCGUGGGGAGCAAACAGGAUUAGAUACCCUCGUAGUC
This 439-nucleotide ribosomal RNA is filed under the name uncultured bacterium. RNAcentral's name for it is "partial 16S ribosomal RNA". It matches the Rfam family "Bacterial small subunit ribosomal RNA", at positions 339 to 795 of the family's 1533-position model. The record is from RNAcentral.